Non-coding RNA from Triticum urartu, 1385 nucleotides. Lineage: Eukaryota; Viridiplantae; Streptophyta; Magnoliopsida; Poales; Poaceae. The record is from RefSeq and is a predicted model, not a curated record.
GUCCCCAAGAAGGACGAUUCACUUCGCAUGUGCAUUGACUUCAAGCAUAUCAAUCGGGCCUGACCGAAAGAUCAUUUUCCUCUCCCCCGCAUAGACCAAAUCGUCGACUCGACUGCGGGGUGUGAGAGAUUGUCUUUCCUGGACGCCUAUUUCGGGUACCAUCAGAUCCGACUGUAUGGACCCGAUGAGAUAAAAACGGCUUUCAUUACUCCAUUCGGAUGCUUCUGUUAUGUCACCAUGCCAUUCGGCCUGAAGAACGCCGGAGCCACAUUCAUGAGGAUGAUUCAGAAGUGUCUGCUCACUCAAAUCAGUCGGAAUAUGGAAGCAUACAUGGAUGACAUUGUGGUCAAGUCACGUAAGGGUUCCAACCUGCUGGCUGACCUUGCAGAAACCUUUGCCAACCUCAGAAUGUAUGAUAUGAACCUUAAUCCAUCAAAAUGCACAUUUGAAGUUUCUGGCGGAAAGUUACUCGGCUUCCUCGUUUUCGAAUAAGGGAUCGAUGCUAACCCAGAGAAAGUUGGUGCUAUACUCCGGAUGAAACGUUCCGUGCGUGCGCAUGAUCUUUAAAAGCUUACUGGUUGUUUGGCCGCCUUGAGUCGAUUCAUUUCUCGCUUUCCAAGAGGGGAGCCGUUCGCAGUACUAUGUGAUGUUUCUGCUAUAUUUUGCAGAAACAUCUGGUUGAUCAAUAUUAUUCAUUUGUUCUUCACAAGUUUUCUUAGGUACUGAACACUUGCUAAAUAUCUGUACUUAAUAUUGCACGUAUUACAUGAUUGAUGCUGCCAUGAACGACUAAACAUAAAAGUAAACUUUUGGGCCCUGCCUGUGAUAGUUUUGUUUUCAAUUGUAUUUUUACUAUCACGUACUGUACUUCCUUUUAUGUUCUUCGGUUCGUAACUUGAAAGUAUAAUCAUUUUACCCGUGCAGUUUCCUAGCUUUUCGGGCAGUGUGGCAUCAAUGGCGUAUAACCAUAGUGGCCAACUUUUGGUAGUUGCUUCAAACUUUACUCAUCAAGGAGCAGAUAGAGUCUGGAGGUGGAGGGGCACCAGAUAUUUAUCGAAACGAUGCGGGAUUCCAAAAGGAAGAAGUCUCCCUGAGAGUAGAAGCUCUCUUCUUACCCAGACCGGUCCAGCCGACUACUUGUACAAUUAAUCGAGCCCUACCGCUGUAGUCCCCCCCCUAACAUUAUUGAGCUAGGCAGAGUAGCAUUCAUGCCAUUGUAUGUUGUGUUUUGUUUUAUGUAUGUUUAGGCCUCAUUUUUAGUGAGAUGAAACAAGAGAGCAACUUGUUGGAAGUAAUACAUUUGAUGUGUGCAAUCCAAUGAGUGCUGAGGCACGCAGUGAAUAUCAUUAUGCUCUUACUUCACAGAUGAUUUGAGUAGAUUCUAA